Acanthosepion pharaonis is the source of this 112-nucleotide non-coding RNA. The record is from the annotation of a GenBank genome assembly. Lineage: Eukaryota; Metazoa; Mollusca; Cephalopoda; Sepiida; Sepiidae.
CUGUCAUAUCACGUGUGAAACACUAAUUCUCGUCCGAUCACUGAAGUUAAGCAACGUCGAGCCUAGUCAAUACCUGGAUGAGUGCUCGUUUGGGAAUACUAGAUGCUGUAAG